AACGCGAAGAACCUUACCAAGGCUUGACAUGGAGACAAGUAUGAUGCACACUUGCUCAACUCUUUGGACACUCGUAAACAGGUGGUGCAUGGUUGUCGUCAGCUCGUGUCGUGAGAUGUAGACUUAAAUGCGAUAACGAGCGCAACCCUCGUUCUAUGUUGCCAGCACGUAAUGGUGGGAACUCAUGGAAUACUGCCGGGGUCAACUCGGAGGAAGGUGGGGAUGACGUCAAAUCAUCAUGCCCCUUAUGUCUUGGGCUUCACGCAUGCUACAAUGGCCGGUACAAAGGGCUGCAAUACCGUAAGGUGGAGCGAAUCCCAAAAAGCCGGUCCCAGUUCGGAUUGAGGUCUGCAACUCGACUCCGUGAAGUCGGAGUCGCUAGUAAUCGCAGAUCAGCAACGCUGCGGUGAAUACGUUCCCGGGUCUUGUACACACCG
RNAcentral lists this ribosomal RNA (437 nucleotides) under uncultured bacterium. RNAcentral describes it as "bacterial SSU rRNA". It matches the Rfam family "Bacterial small subunit ribosomal RNA", at positions 958 to 1392 of the family's 1533-position model. The record is from RNAcentral.